CAGAAUCCCUUGGUGAUCCAAAAGCAUCUACUUUGAUGGCAUGGGAUCCAUUUGAUGGAGGUUGGAUCGAUUCUGGUUGGCUGGUGUAGUAUCUUGCACCUAUCAGCUUCCUACGAAUUCACAGGAGCUUAAACAGAGGUGUGGAAUGUUGUCGCAGAUAAAAAUGAAGGAAAUUACCAGUAUCAAUGAUGCCAAUUAUAACAUCACCGGAAGCUUUUCGCCGGAGUCGCUGCGAUCCAAUGCCUGAUUCUGUGUCCAAGAAAUCCCAAGAACGCGUUGUAUGAAGUUGAAGAAUCCGGUCAGGGAAAACCGACACCACUUCAUCAAAGCCUGAUGCGAAGCAUCCAAAACACUCGAUCAGAAUAGAGAGAUAGCAAUCAAGACUGAGAUUGUUAACUUGCAUCUGAUCCAACGAAUUGAAGUUUGUGAAUGAGGAAAUGAUUAAAAGUCGAUUCAAUUGAGCUGGAACAUGAAAACACCAACCAGAUAAUAAAGCGGCUUCCUUUUCGGUAAGCAUAGCUGAGAACCCCUUGAAUGCAUGAUGGUAACUUUGCAUCAGGGACACUCUUUCUUUCUCCUCACUGUUACGACCAACAUAAAAGUUAAACAGCAGGUUGCAGGUUGAUGGUUUCCAUGUUAAGAUUACUAUUUUAUUGUCAAUGUUUAACAAAAACUCUUGCCUCGGAAUAACUGAGGACAACAUUUGCAAGUGAGCUGCUUGUUGAGUUUCA
Molecule: long non-coding RNA, 731 nt
Organism: Musa acuminata AAA Group (dessert banana)
Lineage: Eukaryota; Viridiplantae; Streptophyta; Magnoliopsida; Zingiberales; Musaceae
Exons: 2
Source: RefSeq, a predicted model, not a curated record